UGUGAAUUAGAGGGCCUGUCCCCAUUUUA
RNAcentral lists this non-coding RNA (29 nucleotides) under Mus musculus (house mouse). Lineage: Eukaryota; Metazoa; Chordata; Mammalia; Rodentia; Muridae. RNAcentral also lists the same sequence under 1 other name. The record is from RNAcentral.